CGGGAAGAGCUCAAAUUUAAAAGCUGGUAGCUUUGUUACCCGCGUUGUAAUCUGGAGAAGCGUUUUCCGCGUCGGACCGUGUACAAGUCUCUUGGAACAGAGCGUCAUAGAGGGUGAGAAUCCCGUCCAUGACACGGACUGCCGAUGCUUUGUGAUACGCUCUCGAA
RNAcentral lists this ribosomal RNA (167 nucleotides) under Agaricomycetes sp. RNAcentral's name for it is "partial large subunit ribosomal RNA". It matches the Rfam family "Eukaryotic large subunit ribosomal RNA", at positions 99 to 261 of the family's 3401-position model. Lineage: Eukaryota; Fungi; Basidiomycota; Agaricomycetes. The record is from RNAcentral.